RNAcentral lists this non-coding RNA (29 nucleotides) under Rattus norvegicus (Norway rat). Lineage: Eukaryota; Metazoa; Chordata; Mammalia; Rodentia; Muridae. The record is from RNAcentral.
UGCUCAUCUCUGUCAAGGUGUGUGGUACC